This 603-nucleotide ribosomal RNA is filed under the name uncultured bacterium. RNAcentral's name for it is "bacterial SSU rRNA". It matches the Rfam family "Bacterial small subunit ribosomal RNA", at positions 35 to 653 of the family's 1533-position model. The record is from RNAcentral.
GUUAGCGGCGCGCUUGAUGCAUGCAAGUCGAACGGUUUGGUAAUCCGCAAGGAUAAUCAGAUAGUGGCGAACGGCUGAGUAACGCGUAAGUGACCUACCUCUAAGUGGGGAAUAACUUGCCGAAAGGCAAGCUAAUACCGCAUGUGUUGGCAGGCGGAUGCUUGUCAGUAAAGCCUUAGGGUGCUUGGAGAAGGGCUUGCGUCUGAUUAGCUAGUUGGUUGGGGUAAUGGCCUACCAAGGCGAUGAUCAGUAGCUGGUCUGAGAGGACGAUCAGCCAGACAGGGACUGAGACACGGCCCUGACUCCUACGGGAGGCAGCAGCAAGGAAUUUUGCGCAAUGGGCGAAAGCCUGACGCAGCGACGCCGCGUGGGGGAUGAAGGCUUUCGAGUCGUAAACCCCUUUUCCCGGGGAAGAAUAAUGACGGUACUCGGGGAAUAAGUCUUGGCUAACUACGUGCCAGCAGCCGCGGUAAUACGUAGAAGGCGAACGUUAUUCGGAUUUACUGGGCGUAAAGCGGGUGUAGACGGCCCCUUAAGUCGGGUGUGAAAUCUCCUGACUCAAUCAGGAGAGGUCAUUCGAUACUAAGUGGCUUGAGGAUGGCA